GACGAACGCUGGCGGCGUGCUUAACACAUGCAAGUCGAACGGAAAGGCCCUGCUUGCAGGGUACUCGAGUGGCGAACGGGUGAGUAACACGUGGGUGAUCUGCCCUGCACUUCGGGAUAAGCCUGGGAAACUGGGUCUAAUACCGGAUAGGAGCCAUCUUUAGUGUGAUGGUUGGAAAGUUUUUUCGGUGUAGGAUGAGCUCGCGGCCUAUCAGCUUGUUGGUGGGGUAAUGGCCUACCAAGGCGGCGACGGGUAGCCGGCCUGAGAGGGUGGACGGCCACAUUGGGACUGAGAUACGGCCCAGACUCCUACGGGAGGCAGCAGUGGGGAAUAUUGCACAAUGGGCGCAAGCCUGAUGCAGCGACGCCGCGUGGGGGAUGACGGCCUUCGGGUUGUAAACUCCUUUCGCUAGGGACGAAGCUUUUUGUGACGGUACCUAGAUAAGAAGCACCGGCUAACUACGUG
RNAcentral lists this ribosomal RNA (465 nucleotides) under uncultured bacterium. Its description in RNAcentral is "partial 16S ribosomal RNA". It matches the Rfam family "Bacterial small subunit ribosomal RNA", at positions 28 to 507 of the family's 1533-position model. The record is from RNAcentral.